AGACCUGGCAAUCUGCUCCUGUAAAGAUUUACAGCCUUGGAAACCCUAUGGGGCAGUUCUGCUCUGACCUAUAGGGUCUCUGUGAGUCAGAAUCAACUGACGGCAUGCAACAACAACAUUGUUAAUUAUUACUAAACUCAUGGAUAAGAUUAGCACACCCUCUUAAUACUAUUGCCCACAUGGUCAAAUUUAUGAGGUAAUCUGGCAGUUCCUUUAUUUUUCUUGAAGCCAUCCCUUCUUGAGUUUUCCCAUGCUCUUGUUCUAGUCUGGCCUGGUUGGUCACGGGAUCUGCCAUAGAACUGUUGUCUUGCCUGGACAUCCCCUUUGCCUCCCUCCUCUGCUUGAUCCCAUGUCUGUUUAAUCUGAGUUUCUUCCACCUUCCAGACAUUUGUUUUCAUCUCUUCUUCCACAUGUGAGGCUUUCCUUAACCCUUUGGUAAUGCUUGGCUAUCCAUUCACUUCAGAGUGAGCUAUACUCUCUGUGAGUGGGGCUUGUCAACUAGCUAGGGUGAAAAGGGGGCAAAUGCAACUUAUCUUUUAUAUUGGGAAUUCCUUAUGCAUCUGAAGGUCUUUUCUCUGAGGCUGUUUAGGUUCUGUGGAAAAAGAAACUCUCCAGUCCCUUGUGUUGGAGGGCUAAGCCCAAUAAGCCUAUCAGUGUUCUGGGAGCAAAGAGGUGACUGUGUGCGAAUGGGUCUCACUGUUCAGAACUCAGACUUUCCUUUAAUAUACCUCUCUUCAGUCUGGCACCUUAUCUUCACUCUCCAUUAAGUAUGGAACCCUUUAUUCUGGACUCUCUCCAGUUCAUCUUCCCAGGCUAAACUUCCUGGUUUUUGUUGGUUGGGGAAGGUAUAGUUACUUGGCUGCACAGGGUGGGGCAGGGCCCUGGGCAGCCUACCUGCUCUCUGUACAGACUUUCAAACAAGCUCCCAACUUUUAGUCCCACACUUCAUGGCCUGCAACCCCCUUCCUCUGUCUUUGGUGCUUUCUACUUAAGGCUUUCUGGAGUUCUGUGGGCACUAGAAUUUUUACUUAUUCCACUCUGUAACCAUUUGUCAUUCUUCUGUUCCACUUUUUUCUACAAACAAGUUGAAAUCUCUCCUCUGCUCUUGUCUUCAUUCCUGUUUGUCUUUUCAGGUCUAUAUGUUGAAAUUUUCUUUAUUGAAAUUUUCGUUUAAAGACAUGGGAAGAGAAAAUUCCAUGUAUUUCUACUAUAAGAAUUAUCCAUUCUUAAAGUAGAUAAUUGUGAUUUUUUUUUAACUAAAGAAUUUAGCAGUAUUUACUGAGAAGCGUAAUUGUGCCCUUGUUGUGUAUGAGAUCAGACCAUUCGGCAUUAUAACGAGGUCAUAUCCGUAGAACCUUAGAAUUGGAAGGGCCCCCACCUAGUGCAGAGUCUCCUCCGUGUCAUCCUGCAGGGCGGAUCCUUAGUGUCUGCAAGCACACUUCUAACCAAAGAGACCUCACUCGUCUAAAAAGAGUGAGUUUCAAAACCAUGUUGUUGUUUUAGCUGUCAAGCCAACCCUUUAUUUUUCAAACAAAAUACUGAAAAAUCCAAUAUUUAAAAUCAUAAAAAACGAACUGCUAAGGAAGGGGGAGAGACGGGGCACCGCCUGCUGGGCUUCCAUCCACUUCAUCUCCUUCUGUUGCCCCUGAGCCGCAUUCGCUGAACGUAAGGAGCACCGUUUUGAAACCACUGCCUGCAGAGCUGGUGACUCCCUUGUUGACUAGUCCUCUUCUCAGAUUGAACUUUCUACACUGUUACCAGCAGUUUGUAACGUGGAGCCGUAUACUGUUGCCAGCAGUUAGCACACAUUUUAACAGUGCUGCCAUGCGUUCAUUUUAGCUUCAAUGCCCUGGCAGAAAGGUGAUCUCAGAAUUAGAAUUAUUUUUCCAACUACCUUUCUUAUAAUACUCCAUUUAUUUCUAAAUACUGGAGGUGAGAAACACUCUGCUAUUACUAUAACAGAGAGAUUCACCAUUCAUGAAUCCUUAUCUUUAAAAGCAACAAAAUCCUGACAUACGAUGAUGUCGUUUUGGGACCUCUGGAGUCUAAAUUGAUUAAACAAUUUCAUUAUAACAAUUCUUAGAGCUAUUAAUGUGACAGAGGUGUUUAAAAUAAGAUCACAGAAAUGAAUUUCAUGUAUUGUGAGACAUCCUUGUACCAUAUAUUUUUGUUUCUAUAUUUACAGAUACAGGAACAUCAGUAAUCUCAAGUAUUCUGUAUACCAUCCUUAUUCUUAUUGUCUUGAUCAUCGUGUUAUCUAUUUAUUUUUUGAAAACCACUGGCUCCAGGUAUUGACUGAUUUUUUUUUUUCCUUCUUAUAGCUUUGUCGAAGCUAGAAAAGUAUCAGAAAUACAGAAUUGACUGACUAGGUAAAAUUAAGAUGUUAACAUCAGUUCUCCCAUAAUCAGGAAGAGUAUCCUGAAGCUGUUAGAAUGGACUUAGUUUGAUUUAAGAAGGAUUUUGUAGAUUACUGAGACAUGUAACAUGAUGAAUUAGGCCAUAUAGGGAAGGGUCUUGGGAGAUAUGGUGUCUGCUAAUUUUCUAUUUAAGAAAAGAAUUACAACAAAUCUUUCAUGUAUCAAGAGGUGUUGUAUAUAUUGUAUUACAUCAAACUUCUGAUCUUAAUUCCUUUUCUAAAAUCUGGAAUUAUCUUAUUUGGUGCAUAUGUGUAUUAACUCCAAGCAGCAUUCUCCACUUAUUUCUGAUCAUUUAUUUCUGAUUUAUUAUGACUUCUACCAAAAUCAACCACAAACAUCAAUAGUAUACUAUUUUUUUUUCCAUUUUCAAUUAAAUAAUGAGUUUUAUGCAUUCACUCCAGUUUGUUUUUCCAGGAAAUGUAAACCAAUGAAAACGGAAACUAUUCAAGUUUCUGCGGAGGAUGAAAUGCAGCCCUAUGCCAGCUAUACAGAGAAGAACAAUCAACUCUAUGAUACUGUAAACAGGGUGAUGACAUCUCAGGGGUUACAAACUGAAGUUGCUGGGAUGGAUCUCCAUACAUUAUACGUUGUUGGAAUCUAGCACUAGGACAAAUGAAUCAAGAUACGGUACAAUUACUGCAUUAAUUUUCUAAUAAUUCUAGAAUGGAAGACCCAUUUUGAAAUUAAGAGUUUUUCAAAGGUUCUAGAAGACAAAGACACUCUAAUGAAUGUGCAUUCAUAUCCUUCAACAAUUGGGACUUUAGAAUCUUGGCUGCUAUCAGCUAGUUCUCUAAAAAGCUGAUGUUAUUUUUACAAAGAAAGCAAUGUUCAUGAUAAAAUAUUAAAAAUGUACAGUACAGUAAAUAAUGAAAACCUAGUUUCCUCAAGAAGUAAGUCUCAGGAGGAACAAUCAUCAACAGUUUCUCAUGUGUUCUUCCAGAAAGUUUCUAUGUACAUGUGACAUAUCUAUAUGCCUAUAGAUAUAUUGUGCAUUUAUAUGUCUGUUUACAUAUAUAUACACAUACUCUGAUUAAGACACAAAUGGGGACAUAUUAUACACACUGUUCUGUACUUACGAAGAGCUGAUAAUAUAGUAUGUUUUAGAGAACUUUUCAUAUCAACAGAAACAGAGCUACCUUAUUCUUGUUAACGGCUACAUAGAAUUACAUUUAAUUAACCACACCCCUAGUGAUUGUUCAUAGAUAUGUCAAAUUGUAUCAAUUUAUUUUCUCUCUAACAAUGUUUGAAUGGGCCUUUCCUUAUGCUGAAGAACCGAGUUUUUAUUGAAUUGUUAUUUUAAUAUCUGCAGCAUUACCAUUUCCUCCUUUUAAAUCAACCAGUUAACUAAUAUAAUGUAAGAUUGUAGUAAGAAUUAUACUAUUUAAUCAAAUUUGGUUUAUAUUUUUCUGUCAUGUUUAUGAAAGUGUAUUAUGUGUGUGUGUGAGAGAGAGAGAGGGUGAACACGUGUGGGGAACGUUAGUGUCUUCUAAACUUGUUAUGUCUCUACAGAGGUAUAGAUUUCCAAUACAUAACAGUUUUACAGCUGUAAUAAACUGGAAAUGUGUAUUUUUAUGAUGUACAUUAUAUUGUGAUGUAUAUAUCAAAUAACAAAUGUUUAUUGACUGUAUAAACAACUAAAUAUAUAUUAUGGCAGACAUGGGGUGUCUAUAAAAUGUGGUUUAUGUGCUAAGAGAAUGGCCGUGGGAAUGACAUCUGUUUUUCUGUGGAGUAAAAUAGUGGGAAUGUGUGUACGAAUCAUUUUUUUAAAUUAUAAAAAAUUGUGCUUCUGUUUGUUCCCUGGCAGGAAAAUCACUAGACUUUUUUCAUCAUAAUAGAAAUUAAAACAAAAUCCAUUCAUUCUUCCAUUGUGCCAUUUUUACAGCUAUUUUAUCUUAUUAGUAUGUUUUCCUCCCCCCGCCCCCAUUUUAGUUACUCUAGGCUUUAUUCUUAAAGUGAUUUUUAGUCUAUUUGGGAUACAUAACUAAUAUAAGGACAGUUGGCACAUGGUGUUUUGACUAAAUCAUUUUGACUUGGCUAAAUAACCAAUCCAUUAUAUUUCAACAUAUAAAUAUUACCAAGCAGUGUGUACAAUAGACAUCAUAAAUCUAUCCUUGACCUUUUAUUAGUUGUUUAUUCAUCCCUGGUUGGGUUGAGGUUCACAUUAGUUAGGUUCAAGAACAUAUGUUUAAAUACUACUGAAAAUAACAAAACAAAACCUAAAAUCCAUCUUAAUAUUGUCAAAACAGCCAUGUCAAACAAUACCAUAGUAAAAACAAGUUAGUUUUUAAGUGCUCAAUUGUAUUGUCCAGGAAAUACAUGUAUUAGAGUCUCCCAGAAUUGGAGUGUUGAAUGUGGUUGAACAUUAGACUUACAUGCAAAGAUUAAAAAAUUAUAGUUUCCCCAAAUGCAGUCUAGACCUGCUGAAUCAGAUCUAGAGAUUGGACCAGCUGUGUCAGGUUCCCCAGGAAGCAGAGGCAGAGAUGGAGUUAGGAGUGACAAAGGUUAAUUGGAGGAGAAAGGUUAUAUCUGUGAAAGA
Trichechus manatus latirostris (Florida manatee) is the source of this 4953-nucleotide long non-coding RNA. RefSeq lists it as uncharacterized. The transcript is spliced from 2 exons. The record is from RefSeq and is a predicted model, not a curated record. Lineage: Eukaryota; Metazoa; Chordata; Mammalia; Sirenia; Trichechidae.